This 197-nucleotide unclassified non-coding RNA is filed under the name plant metagenome. RNAcentral's name for it is "partial contains small subunit ribosomal RNA and internal transcribed spacer 1". The stretch from base 1 to 46 matches the Rfam family "Eukaryotic small subunit ribosomal RNA", at positions 1786 to 1831 of the family's 1831-position model. The record is from RNAcentral.
AAGUCGUAACAAGGUUUCCGUAGGUGAACCUGCGGAAGGAUCAUUACUGAGCCUGGGUGCUUCGGCGCCCGACCUCCAACCCUUUGUUUACCUUACCACUGUUGCCUCGGCGCUCGGGGGAAACCCCUUCGCCGGUGGCCUUAACAAAAACCCUUUGCAAACCCAGUCUUCUGAGAAAUUAUUUAAUAACUUCAAAA